GACGAACGCUGGCGGCGUGCUUAACACAUGCAAGUCGAACGGAAAGGCCCUGCUUUUGUGGGGUGCUCGAGUGGCGAACGGGUGAGUAACACGUGAGUAACCUGCCCUUGACUUUGGGAUAACUUCAGGAAACUGGGGCUAAUACCGGAUAGGAGCUCCUGCUGCAUGGUGGGGGUUGGAAAGUUUCGGCGGUUGGGGAUGGACUCGCGGCUUAUCAGCUUGUUGGUGGGGUAGUGGCUUACCAAGGCUUUGACGGGUAGCCGGCCUGAGAGGGUGACCGGCCACAUUGGGAAUGAGAUACGGCCCAGACUCCUACGGGAGGCAGCAGUGGGGAAUAUUGCACAAUGGGCGGAAGCCUGAUGCAGCAACGCCGCGUGCGGGAUGACGGCCUUCGGGUUGUAAACCGCUUUCGCCUGUGACGAAGCGUGGGUGACGGUAAUGGGUAAAGAAGCACCGGCUAACUACGUG
Molecule: ribosomal RNA, 468 nt
Filed under: uncultured bacterium
Lineage: Bacteria
Description: partial 16S ribosomal RNA
Rfam family: Bacterial small subunit ribosomal RNA
Source: RNAcentral